This 3499-nucleotide long non-coding RNA is filed under the name Homo sapiens (human). RNAcentral describes it as "HSALNT0284456". Lineage: Eukaryota; Metazoa; Chordata; Mammalia; Primates; Hominidae. The record is from RNAcentral.
AUGUGAUUAUAUACUGAUUCAUGGGCUAUAGCCAAUGGUUUAGCUGGAUGUUCAAAGACUUGGAACAAGCAUGAUUGGAAAAUUGGUGACAAAGAAAUGUGGAGAGGAGGUAUAUGGAUGGACCUCUCUGAGUGGUCAAAAACUGUGAAGAUAUUUGUAUCUUAUGUGAAUUUCCAUCAAUGGGUGACCUCAGCAAAGGAGAAGAUUAAUAAUCAAGUGGAUAGGAUGAAUCGUUCUGUGGACACCACUCAGCCUCUUCUCACAGCCAGCUCUGUCAUUGCCCAAUGGGUCCAUGAACAAAGUGGCCAUUGUGGCAGGGAUGGAGAUUAUGCAUGGGGUCAGCAAUCUGUACUUCCACUCACCAAGGCUGAUCUGGCUAUGACCAAUUUGCCAGGAGCAGAGACCAGCACUGAGCCCUCGAUAUGGCACCAUUCCUCAAGGUAAUCAGCCAACUAACUGGUGGCAGACUAAUUAUAUUGGCCCUUUUCCAUCAUGGAAAGGGCAGAGGUUUGUCCUCACUGGAAUAGACACCAACUCUGGAUAUGGGUUUGUCUAUCCUGCACACAAUGCUUCUGCCAAGACUACCAUCCUUUGACUCACAGAAAGCCUUAUCCACUGUCAUGGUAUUCCACACAGCAUUGCCUUUGACCAAGGCACUCACUUUACGGCUGAAGAAGUGUGGCUGUGGACUCAUGUUCAUAGAAUUCACUGAUCUUACCAUGUUCCCCAUCAUCCUGAAGCAGCUGGACUGAUAGAAUGGUGGAAUGGCCUUUUCAAGUCACAAUUACAGUGCCAUCUAGGUGACAAUACUUUUCAGGGCUGGGGCAAAGUUCUCCAGAAGGCCAGGAAUGCUCUAAAUCAGCAUCCAAUAUAUGGUACUUUUUCUCCCAUAGCCAGGAUUCACAGGUCCCAAAAUCAAGGGGUGGAAGUGGAAGUGACACCACUCACCAUCACCCCUAGUGAUCCACUAGCAAAAUGUUUCCUUCUUGUUCCUAUGAGGUUACAUUCUGCUGGCCUAGAGGUCUUAAUACCAGAAGAGACACAUGUUUCAAUUAAACUGGAAGUUAAGAUUGCCUCCUAGACACUUUGGGCUCCUCCUACCUUUAAGUCAACAAGCUAAGAAAGGAGUUACAGUGUUUGCUGGGGUCAUUGACCCGGACUAUCAAGAUGAAAUCAGUCUACUACUCCACAGUGGGGGUAAGGAAGAGUAUGCACAGAAUACAGGCAAUCCCUUGGGGCAUCUCUUAGUAUUACCAUGCCCUGUGAUUAAAGUCAAUGGGAAACUAUAACAGCUCAAUCGAGGCAGGACUAACAAUGGCUCAGACCGUUCAGAAAUGAAGGUUUGGGUCACUCCACCAGGAAAAACAACCAUAAUAUGCUUGAAGUCUGUAUAUAAAUACUUGCAUAGAUUCAUAAUUAAAUUAACUAAAUUUCCUCAUUUGAAAAUGUUGUAAUUCUAAGAUAAGCUAUGUUUUGCAUAUAUAUUUUAACAUAGUUCACCUAUCUCAUUUUUUUAAAUGAGAAUACAUAAAAUUACAUAAAGAAAAGAAACCACAUGAAAAAGCAAAUGCUUUCUAGGCCAAGGAAUAAGUCUAACUUUAUCCAAUAGUGAAAAUGAAAAGUUAAUUAGGUGAUUUAAAGCACUGGAAAUUUGACAGUAGCUAUUUGAAUAAAACACCCACAUCACAAUCAAAGGUGAAAUCAAAUAGGAACAUGAAGCUAUGUUCUAGAAAAACAUUACAUUAACAUUAAUAUAGAUAAAAGUGAAUUUUUAUCACCACAUUGGUUUUAACUUGUCUUUGUUUCUUUGUAAUUUGUGUCAAAAGAAAAUAAAUCUUGGGACCCAAAAAUGACUAAGCUAAAGGGAAAAGUCAAGCUGGGAACUUCUUCAGGCAAACCUGCCUCCCAUUCUAAUCAAAGUCAUCCCUCCGAGGCUCACCUGAGACAAAUACAUGUUUGAUUACUCCCUAUCCCCUAUUGUUUAUGUAUAAAUGCAGAUUCAGUGAGCCAGACUAAAUUGUGUAUUCAGUGGAAGGCUGAUCAAAGACUCAAAAGAAUCCAACCUUUUUUCUCUUAUCUACUUCUAACUUCAAAGCCCCACUUCAUGUUGUCCCACCUUACUGAACCAAACCAGUGUACAUCUUACACAUAUUGAUUGAUGUUUCAUGUCUCCCUAAAAUGUAUAAAAGCAAACUAUACCCCUGACCACCUUGGGCAUAUGUCUCAGGGCUUCCUGAGGCUGUAUCACAGGUGUAUUUUUGACCUUGGCAAAAUAAACUUUCUAAAUUGACUGAGACCUGUGUCAGAUAUUUUGCAUUCACAAUCAGUAACCACAGAGGGAUUCUGAGGGGAGGUGCCCCUGACUUUGACGAAUCUCCUAUAGGUGCUUGGUACCAGCUUGAGCUUUUUUAUGGCUCAAACCAAUAGGGCAAUUUGCUGAGGCCUGUAAGCUCCCCCUCCAGAAAAUCCCUGAUCUCCCCAAAUUUGGUUAAGAUCUAAAGCUUAUUUUGCUGUACAACUCCUCCUUUUGGAGUUUCACUUGCUUCUUACAGGGAAGGCAAGUUUUCCUGCUUCCAUGAUGUUGGAAGGAAGGAAUCAAGCUUGACUUGAAGAUCCAAUAAAAGCCCACUGGAAAAACCAGCCUGAUGCCUUGUCUGCAGAGUUCCUGUAUAGGAUUUCUGACCUGUGAUAACUAAAGAAUGUCACUUUCUCACAAGUCCAGCAGCCCCAAGUUAUCUUGGGACCUCAAGAGGAGAGGAAUUUGCUCACCUCGUAGGUAUUUGAGGGUACAAACCCAUGGCUGGGCUCAGCUGAAAAAAGAAGUCUUAUUUGAAAGAGUUCCAUAAAAGCGGAUUUAAAAGCCUAUGUGAAAAAUAAUUAUCCUUGCUUCACUUUAUACAGAUAAUAAUGCCAAGCAUAAGAAUAGAGCUUGUUCUUUUACAAAUAAAUUGGUGCUAUUAAUAUUUUUUAAUAAGAAUAGGAGACUGAAGAGAGAGAAAUUAUAUUUCAAAACAAACUAUUACACCUAUUAUAUUCUACUCUUGCCUAAUGUUUUUCAAUUUUUAUUAUUUUCAGCAGUUUGAACUGAAUUCUAAAAUGUUUCCUGGCUACACUUCUCCAAAGUCAUGUCUCCAAAUUGUUUUCUUCUUUCUUUUCCCACUUUUUCCCCAUUUUUCCUAAUUUGAAAUAACUGUAAACUAAGCUGUGCUUUCUUAAAGCCCUGCAAAAUAAAGCUACACAACUUAAACUUUAGAAGGAAAUAACAGCAACCUAUUUACAUACAUAAGCCAAUCUCAUACACGCCUAAUGAUAUAUGAACUUCAGAGUAAUAUGGCCUAUAUUGAUUUUCCAAGAUUGUUCUUUUUUGUUUGUUGUUGUUUUUCUCCCUUCUUCCCCCCAUUUGCCCUUUGUAGGAAAUGAGACUUCACAACCUGCUAAAAAUGAGCUUUCCUCGUAAUGUGAGACCUACCUGUCUAUUAAUAAACUAUUCCAACCAUGA